CGCAUCUAUAUACAACUUUCAACAACGGAUCUCUUGGCUCUCGCAUCGAUGAAGAACGCAGCGAAAUGCGAUAAGUAAUGUGAAUUGCAGAAUUCAGUGAAUCAUCGAAUCUUUGAACGCACCUUGCGCUCCUUGGUAUUCCGAGGAGCAUGCCUGUUUGAGUGUCAUGAAAUCUUCAACCUACAAGGUCUUUGUAAAGGCUUUUUAGGCUUGGACUUGGAGGCUUGUCGGUCUUUGUAGGUCGGCUCCUCUUAAACGCAUUAGCUUGAUUCCUUGCGGAUCGGUUUGUCGGUGUGAUAAUGUCUACCCCGCGACCGUGAAGCGUUUUGGCAAGCUUCUAACGGUCUCUGUAUGGAGACAAAGCUUAUGACCUCUGACCUCAAAUCAGGUAGGACUACCCGCUGAACUUAAGCAUAUCAAUAA
This 423-nucleotide ribosomal RNA is filed under the name Ganoderma sinense. Its description in RNAcentral is "eukaryotic LSU rRNA". The stretch from base 14 to 167 matches the Rfam family "5.8S ribosomal RNA". The record is from RNAcentral. Lineage: Eukaryota; Fungi; Basidiomycota; Agaricomycetes; Polyporales; Polyporaceae.